RNAcentral lists this long non-coding RNA (2395 nucleotides) under Homo sapiens (human). Its description in RNAcentral is "HSALNT0361161". The record is from RNAcentral. Lineage: Eukaryota; Metazoa; Chordata; Mammalia; Primates; Hominidae.
CUCCUGCAUGUGACGGACACAGCACUGAUCCUGGCAGCUCCUUACCCCCAGCAGCCCGAAACUCACUCCUUAAUUACACAAGGGAAACCUUUUACCUCCGCAGCCAGAGUCUGGGGGGAAAGGCAGGCGUGGGAAGAUGGGUUCUCUACCUGGCCAGUGCCAUGUUGCCUGUUUCUUUACUGUAACUGUGGUGACAAAGAAAAGGGAAGAUGGAGCCUCCAUGUUGAACAUACCUGGCCCCCAGCACUAACUCCCUCUCUGGAUAUCUGGAACAAGGAGGACCUUAAACUUAACAAUAAAGCCAAUGAUGGUUCUACCAGUCUCCCCAAAGCCUCAAGUUUAAAAGCCAUAUGAACUGGCUGAUAGUGGAAAAUGGAAGCCAUGAGGUUGAAAAGUGAAUCCUCAAAGGAAAAAUGGAAACUACUCUUGAACUUGUUGGGAUUUGAAAUUUCCUCAGGAAAUCAGAUUAGAGUACUACCUGGUGAAGCCUGGAGGACCUACCAAGAAAAGCAAACUUGGAUCUUUGCAAGGUUAGAAGAACGAAUGGGAUCCAAGAAAAAGACUGGUCAUAUUCAACGGCUAAGAGCGUUGGAGAAGGCCUGUGGAGUCUCAGCAGGUCAGGUCCAUGACUCAUGAGUAGACACCUGUGUUUCUACUGCCUGGUGCCAUAAUCAUAAACAAGGAAGAAACUGAGGACAGGAGGGGCCAAACAAGUUACAGUUUCAUCCCUCCAGAGAGCCAACAGAGUAUUUUGCACGAAGUUGAAGCUAAACAGGUAUUAUGUCCUAUCUCUGGACUGAAUGACUAGAUGCUACUCAGCUUCUGAACUAGAGGAAGCCUGGGACCUUGACCGCACUAAUGCUGAUGACAGCGGAUUUGCAAGUGGCUAGAGGUACCAGAUUUAGCAAAUCAAAAUAUAGGACGUCAAGUUAAAUUUAAGUGUAAGAUAAGCUACGAAUACCUUUUCUAGUAUUAGUACGUCCCAUGCAAUAUACUAGAAAUGUUAUUCGUUAUUUAUGUUAAAUUUAAUUUUAUUAGGGCAUCCUAUAUUUUACCUGUCAAUCCAACCCAUGACCUAGGCAGACACUGUAGAAAAACAAAAGGAGAAUUAAGGAGAUAAAUGAAACACAGGGUGAGCUGAAAAGAGGUGCUCUGUGAAUUUGAGGGUCCAGUAGGAGCUGACUUGUAGGUACUUGGUCUGUUUUGAUGCCCACAACAACCUUGGGGAAGGGGCGGAAUAGCAGAGGGGUAAGCUCUCUGCCCCCCACCAGGGUUCUGCAGGACGCCAGGGCUUUUAUCAGCACCCCUAUGUUCACAUCCUGGCUGCACCCUCCUUGGUUGUAUAUACUCUGGAUAAUUCACUUAAUUUAAAUCUUGCUGCUUUUAUAAAAUUGAUAAAAAGUUAAUAGUGACACUGAUCACACUGAUGUCCCUCAAUGAAUUAUCAAUAUGUUUUUUCUUCCCACCUAUAUUCUUUAUUGAACUCUGUUAUUUUUGAUCCUGGUCUAGAGUAAGCAUUAUGACCAUGCAAGAGUGAAAUGAAAUUUUUAAAAAUAAUUUUUUAAUGUUUUCUGAAUGCUGGGUGUUUUCAAUGAUCAUGCAUGACUGGCAGCAAAGAGGAACGAGGAUGGAUUCGAUAAGGUGCAACAAGUCCUGAACACACACAGAGAACUGGCUGUGAAUCCUGUUUCUGCCACUCACCACUUACUUGUUGGUGAAAAUGCUCAGGAUGUUCACUGCAGCCUGCCUCACCCUGGAAAAGAGAUGUGAGGAUAAUGAGAAAGAAGAGUAUGUUCAGUGCGGAGCAUGCAAAUUUGCAUGAAAACUUCCCAGGCAAAGCAGGAAAGAAACCAGACCUCUUUUCUGCACAAUAAUGGGGCCCACUAACUCUGGGGAAAAGAGUAAUCAGCAAAUGCCUUUCCUUUCUCCUGCUGAUGUUUUGCCCGUACUCAGACCCCUUGACUUCUUAGCUUCUACCCAAAGUGAGCUUGUCAUCAAAGUUCUCCAAAAAUCUGCAGUGUUCUCUUGAGCAAAUCUGCUUCCAAGACUAUAGCGCUCUGAUGCAUUGAGAUGACAGCAAGCGGCAUUUUUCAGUCCUGUUACCCAUAUGGCUGCUACCACUGCAUCCUGUUAAAUAAUGUCUUCAACCCAAGAAACCUGCUUCCUAGGGAAGUUUCUCUCUCUCUGCAUUUGUUCCCACUAGAGAAUGACCAUCACCAGAUUCCUGAACUGAAAAUGCUGUUGACACUUUGGAAACUCGGGCCUCUAUUAAUAGGGUGACCAACUAUCCUGGUUUACCUUGAGUACAGGAUUUUCAAUGCUAAAACCAGAAAAACCAGGAUGGUUGGUCAUCUGCCUCAGACCUAAUAAAUACCAGUCAAUAAUUCAGCCAUGA